GAUGAACGCUGGCGGCGUGCCUAAUACAUGCAAGUCGAGCGAACAGACGAGGAGCUUGCUCCUCUGACGUUAGCGGCGGACGGGUGAGUAACACGUGGAUAACCUACCUAUAAGACUGGGAUAACUUCGGGAAACCGGAGCUAAUACCGGAUAAUAUAUUGAACCGCAUGGUUCAAUAGUGAAAGACGGUUUUGCUGUCACUUAUAGAUGGAUCCGCGCCGCUUUAGCUAGUUGGUAAGGUAACGGCUUACCAAGGCGACGAUGCGUAGCCGACCUGAGAGGGUGAUCGGCCACACUGGAACUGAGACACGGUCCAGACUCCUACGGGAGGCAGCAGUAGGGAAUCUUCCGCAAUGGGCGAAAGCCUGACGGAGCAACGCCGCGUGAGUGAUGAAGGUCUUGGGAGCGUAAAACUCUGUUAUGAGGGAAGAACAAAUGUGUAAGUAACUGUGCACGUCUUGACGGUACCUAAUCAGAAAGCCACGGCUAACUACGUG
RNAcentral lists this ribosomal RNA (497 nucleotides) under uncultured bacterium. RNAcentral's name for it is "partial 16S ribosomal RNA". It matches the Rfam family "Bacterial small subunit ribosomal RNA", at positions 28 to 507 of the family's 1533-position model. The record is from RNAcentral.